UAGUCCUACGGGACGCAGCAGUCGAGAAUCAUUCACAAUGGGGGCAACCCUGAUGGUGCGACGCCGCGUGGGGGAAUGAAGGUCUUCGGAUUGUAAACCCCUGUCAUGUGGGAGCAAAUUAAAAAGAUAGUACCACAAGAGGAAGAGACGGCUAACUCUGUGCCAGCAGCCGCGGUAAUACAGAGGUCUCAAGCGUUGUUCUGAAUCACUGGGCGUAACGCGUGCGUAGGCUGUUUCGUAGGCCGUGUGUGAAAGG
This 256-nucleotide ribosomal RNA is filed under the name uncultured bacterium. Its description in RNAcentral is "partial 16S ribosomal RNA". It matches the Rfam family "Bacterial small subunit ribosomal RNA", at positions 334 to 601 of the family's 1533-position model. The record is from RNAcentral.